Long non-coding RNA from Marmota monax (woodchuck), 581 nucleotides. RefSeq lists it as uncharacterized. The transcript has 3 exons. The record is from RefSeq and is a predicted model, not a curated record. Lineage: Eukaryota; Metazoa; Chordata; Mammalia; Rodentia; Sciuridae.
UCCAAUCUCUUCCAUGGGGUGAAUCCCAAAGGAAUUCUGUAACACACACCCUGAUCACUCAACUCCAUCUCAAAGUCUGCUUCCGGGAGAACCCAGUGUGGGAUGGCAUGAAUUCUCUGAUUUGUGGACUUCUACUGAGAUAGCAUCACAGCUGCCAUGAACCCAGAAGCUAUGCUCUUCUAUACCCAUGAUGUACUACUUCACCACAGGCGCAGAAACAAUGAAGCCAGACUACCACGGACUGAAAUUUCUGAAACCCUAAACCCAGAUGAACUUUUCAUCCUCUAAGUUCAUUUUUCCCAGCAGGCAUGUUCUACAAGGAAUACUGAAAUGAAAGGACACGAGAUAGUGACUUGAAUUCACAUGAAGGAAUAAAGAACAUUAGAAAAGGUAAUACGCAGAUAAAUGUAAAAGUCUGGGUAAUUUAGUUUUUGUUUGUAACUCCUUUUUUUUUCCCCUCCAUCUAAUUUAAAAUACAACUUUUUAAGGCAAUAGUUAUAAAUCUGUGUUGAUGGUUAUAUAAUGUGUAAAAAUGUACUUUAUAUAAUACUAUUACAAAGGAAGGAGAGAACAGUGCUUAA